Molecule: small nuclear RNA, 18 nt
Filed under: Arabidopsis thaliana (thale cress)
Lineage: Eukaryota; Viridiplantae; Streptophyta; Magnoliopsida; Brassicales; Brassicaceae
Description: snRNA_06892
Source: RNAcentral
CGGCUGGCAUUCGCCUCC